Alligator sinensis (Chinese alligator) is the source of this 673-nucleotide long non-coding RNA. RefSeq lists it as uncharacterized. The transcript has 3 exons. NCBI's taxonomy places the organism in Eukaryota, Metazoa, Chordata, Crocodylia, Alligatoridae. The record is from RefSeq and is a predicted model, not a curated record.
UUUGUGUGAAAGGCUUCACCUGGAAAGGCAUUGCCUCUGCCUCAAAACAUUAGAUAAUCAGAGUUUAGAAGGCUGAGUCAGAGGCAUGCACAACAUGAAAGGAAGUGAUUACACUUUGUAAUGACAUGGAGAAUGCAGCGGUCAGGGGGCUGAGAGCAAGUCACCUCCCUUCACAUAACCCUCCUCCCCUCAUCAGAGGCAAGUUAAACAAGGGAAGGAGGCGGAAAUGAGUUGGGGCUGCUGGAGUCUCAUCCUCUCCCUCCUGCAGUUAGGGGCUGAGAGCAGCCAUCGCUCUCCAAGUCGCCCUCCUCCCCCCAUCAGAGGAAGUUAAACAAGGACCCAGGAUCUAUGGCAGGAUAUUGCGUUCAGUGAAGCUACCACACGUGAUUCAAGGCAGGAAUUUCUGCCUGACUUUUGAGUUUGUAAUCUCUGAACCCCAGACACAUGGAGACAAGCUUUAUUUACUUUGAGGGUGAAUAAAAUAUUGUGAAUGAAAGGGAGAGAGUUGUCAUCUUGCAUGGUACUAAAGUGUGGAUAAACCUCUACAAAUGCUGCAGCUAAUAAAGAUUCACUUGAAGCACAAAGAAGGAGGAAACCCGCUUUCUACCCCUGAUGCUCUCUGAGGGCAGUUUAAAUGCCAACCAGUCAGCCACACAUUUGAUGAGAACUAGUC